UACGGAGGGUGCAAGCGUUAUCCGGAAUCACUGGGUUUAAAGGGUGCGUAGGCGGCUUAAUAAGUCAGAGGUGAAAGGUUAUCGCUUAACGAUAAGAUAGCCUUUGAAACUGUUAAGCUUGAAUUAGGAUGAGGUAGGCGGAAUGUGACAUGUAGCGGUGAAAUGCAUAGAUAUGUCAUGGAACACCAAUUGCGAAGGCAGCUUACUGGACCUUAAUUGACGCUGAGGCACGAAAGCGUGGGUAGCGAACAGG
This 253-nucleotide ribosomal RNA is filed under the name uncultured bacterium. RNAcentral describes it as "partial 16S ribosomal RNA". It matches the Rfam family "Bacterial small subunit ribosomal RNA", at positions 524 to 776 of the family's 1533-position model. The record is from RNAcentral.